CAAUAGUGUAUAUUAAAGUUGUUGCAGUUAAAAGCUCGUAGUUGGAUUUCAAGAAACGCAUCUGGGUCACCAGUAUGCUUUCUACCAGUCUCUGACUGUUACUGUGAGAAAAUUAGAGUGUUUCAAGCAGGCAAUUGCAGGAAUACAUUAGCAUGGAAUAACGAAUGGGUCUACAAUUUGGUUGAUUGUAGAUUGCGAUUAAUAGGGACAGUUGGGGGCGAUUAGUAUUUAAUUUAGUCAGAGGUGAAAUUACUUGGAUUAGUUAAAGUAACUAACGUAUGCGAAAGACAUUUGUCCAACGGAAUGUUUUCUAUUAAUUCAAGAACGAAAGAAUUGGGGAGUCAAAGAAUGAUCAGAUACCGU
This 363-nucleotide ribosomal RNA is filed under the name uncultured eukaryote. Its description in RNAcentral is "bacterial SSU rRNA". It matches the Rfam family "Eukaryotic small subunit ribosomal RNA", at positions 592 to 1018 of the family's 1831-position model. The record is from RNAcentral.